RNAcentral lists this unclassified non-coding RNA (244 nucleotides) under plant metagenome. RNAcentral's name for it is "partial contains small subunit ribosomal RNA, internal transcribed spacer 1, and 5.8S ribosomal RNA". The record is from RNAcentral.
UCUCCAUUGGUGAACCAGCGGAGGGAUCAUUACCGAGUUUACAACUCCCAAACCCAAUGUGAACCAUACCAAACUGUUGCCUCGGCGGGGUCACGCCCCGGGUGCGUCGCAGCCCCGGAACCAGGCGCCCGCCGGAGGGACCAACCAAACUCUUUCUGUAGUCCCCUCGCGGACGUUAUUUUUACAGCUCUGAGCAAAAAUUCAAAAUGAAUCAAAACUUUCAACAACGGAUCUCUUGGUUCUG